UUAACCCAAUUGAGACCCUAAUGAAAACCUAAUUCUCCCGUCUCUGAAAUUUCCACCUACCUCCACCGUCUCUCCUCUACCCAGAAAUUGUCUCGCGGCGGUUGAGACCUCCAAAUACCCCCAAAUUUUAAUCAGCCAAUCCUCAUUAUCCCCUCUUUCAUGGCCGACCGUCGAUUUCUUCAAAAGACCACACAUUCUCUUUGAAUUACAGAUCUGAAAAAUAAAAAACCCAGCUUUUCCUCCUUUUCCCAAAUCUUUUGAAUUAAACCUUCAGCCCAUAGCAAACACUUGGUGAGUUACCCAGUCUUUCAAUAAAUUAACUCCGUUUGAACAACUAAGAAGGUUUUCUGAUAAAUUUGGUCAAAUUUGGGAGACCUGGUGUUGGAAGCUUUUCAGCCUUUGAGCCUCUAUUCCUUUCUCUUCUUGGCUUAUGGCGAGGAUUGCUGCAUGAAUCAUUAGCUAUGAACGAAAGUUCGGCUAAUAUUUGUGUCGCAAUUCUCACCGUUUGGUCGAGUUUGUGGAUUCGUCGGAGUUCGAGUAUGAGUCGUCUUUGUUCUUGAAGAUUCUGAGCUUCAAUUGAUAUCCAUUGGUAUUUUCUUUCUUUCUCUCUUUAAGUUCGUUUGGUAGUCAUAAAAUUCCUUCUCCUUUUCUGUAGAUGAAAUUAGAUUUGCUAGUCAUUAGUUUAGUGUUAGUUUGCACUUUUCUUUUAUACUGUUUUAUUCUAAAAAAAAAGAGGGAAGAAAUAAUUAUACUGUCCUAGUCAUGAAUUGGUUACCAUUUCAUUUCUCUACUUUUGUUUGUCCCGUUUUUUUUUAUUGGGUUUGGGGGGUUUAUUAGUAUUAGCCAUUGAAUGGAAAUCCAAUUUGGAGAUUUGUCCGUUGGACCAAGUUUAAGGGAUUGGGUCUUUAGUCAGUUUACCCAUUUGAGUCCAAGAGUAACUUUCAGAAGUUUAAAGGGUAAUUUGGGUAGUCUAGGUAGGAAAUCUUUUGUUAACAACCUUAGAAAGCUUCUUGGAAGCUAAAAAUAGACUUCUUUUGCCAACAAGUCAGUAAUUUAAGGACUUUUAAGCAAAAAUAAAAAAUUUAAAAGGGGCUAAAAUGCAAAAUUAAAAUUUUUUUAGUCUGCCCUACUUCCUUGCCAAUAACUGCAUCACUUCCUUACAUUUGUAGGUAGAAUUUUUAGACCUAAAGAGCGCAGAAGAAGAUAGAUAGAAAACAAAUCCAGAAAAACUCAGAAACGGCUGGAAAUAUCAUAAAACUACCGUUCCAUUAAGUUUUUGCUUUGAAUCUUGAGGUUUUCAUAUUUUGAAAAUAUUUUCUGAUUCAUCUGGAGUGAAAAGAUGGGUUGAUUUUUUAUUUUGAAAGGCUGGUGUGAAGUUGUUCAGUGCUUGGUGUUAUCGUUUUACUUCUUAAAUUGAGCUGAUUCCUGUUUUGCCUCCUGAUUACUAGGCUGCUACUAUUACUGAUUCCUUACCUCUUGUUCCCUUUCAAUCUCCAGGUAUGCUCUUGAAAUUGUAAUGGAGUUGAAGCUUGAUUGAAUGUGUGUAGGAUCUGUGAAUAUGAAUCAGAAUUAAAUAAAAACAAAUCAGUUUCUGUUAUAACUACUUUGUAAUUCAGUUUUGUAUGGAUCAUAUUUAGUUUAGCUUACUAUAGAGAUUUCAUCAUGAAAUACAGUUGAUUUUAGAUUCUAGAUCUAGAUUUCAUUUGAGCAUGAGAGAUUCAUGUUUUAGACUUGGUAAGACAUGUAAUAAUUAUAAACUGUGAUAUGCAGUUUAACUGGCUGAAAUGUUUGGUUUUGAUCCCAUAAUCAUGGGUUGUAAAUCCAUGUUAAUUCCAAUUAUAAGUUACUAAAGUUACUUUCUGACAAUCAUGCUAAAAUCUUCCCCUGCAUAGCCUUAGAGUUUGGCUUGAGUGCUUUUCUUUUGUGAAUGUCUUAAGCUCUUUGAGAAUAAUAGUGGUUCAAAUAAAAGUCGAUUUGGUUCUGAUCUUUUGACAGUUUCAUCUUAAGUUUUGUUAAAUUCCUAUUGAUGGUUUGUGAGGUCAUACUGGUUCAAUAUGUAAAGUUUGGCAAAUACAUUUAGUUUAAAGGUGUAAUUCAGAUUCUUAUUGUUUGCUUAGAUAAGCCUACAUGUUUGUUACUUGUCAAUCACAUAGCUCGAGCAAAUAUCUCAAAUAGCAUAGAAUUGUCUUUGAAUUAGUUUUAUAAAUGGAGCCCAGCAUAAUGA
Molecule: long non-coding RNA, 2224 nt
Filed under: Nicotiana benthamiana
Lineage: Eukaryota; Viridiplantae; Streptophyta; Magnoliopsida; Solanales; Solanaceae
Description: long non-coding RNA (NBEN_LNC039864)
Source: RNAcentral